Molecule: ribosomal RNA, 762 nt
Filed under: Shigella flexneri
Lineage: Bacteria; Pseudomonadati; Pseudomonadota; Gammaproteobacteria; Enterobacterales; Enterobacteriaceae
Description: bacterial SSU rRNA
Rfam family: Bacterial small subunit ribosomal RNA
Source: RNAcentral
GGGAGCAAACAGGAUUAGAUACCCUGGUAGUCCACGCUGUAAACGAUGUCGACUUGGAGGUUGUGCCCUUGAGGUGUGGCUUCCGGAGCUAACGCGUUAAGUCGACCGCCUGGGGAGUACGGCCGCAAGGUUAAAACUCAAAUGAAUUGACGGGGGCCCGCACAAGCGGUGGAGCAUGUGGUUUAAUUCGAUGCAACGCGAAGAACCUUACCUGGUCUUGACAUCCACGGAAGUUUUCAGAGAUGAGAAUGUGCCUUCGGGAACCGUGAGACAGGUGCUGCAUGGCUGUCGUCAGCUCGUGUUGUGAAAUGUUGGGUUAAGUCCCGCAACGAGCGCAACCCUUAUCCUUUGUUGCCAGCGGUCCGGCCGGGAACUCAAAGGAGACUGCCAGUGAUAAACUGGAGGAAGGUGGGGAUGACGUCAAGUCAUCAUGGCCCUUACGACCAGGGCUACACACGUGCUACAAUGGCGCAUACAAAGAGAAGCGACCUCGCGAGAGCAAGCGGACCUCAUAAAGUGCGUCGUAGUCCGGAUUGGAGUCUGCAACUCGACUCCAUGAAGUCGGAAUCGCUAGUAAUCGUGGAUCAGAAUGCCACGGUGAAUACGUUCCCGGGCCUUGUACACACCGCCCGUCACACCAUGGGAGUGGGUUGCAAAAGAAGUAGGUAGCUUAACCUUCGGGAGGGCGCUUACCACUUUGUGAUUCAUGACUGGGGUGAAGUCGUAACAAGGUAACCGUAGGGGAACCUGCGGUUGGAUCAC